GAUGAACGCUGGCGGCGUGCCUAAUACAUGCAAGUCGAGCGAACAGAUAAGGAGCUUGCUCCUUUGACGUUAGCGGCGGACGGGUGAGUAACACGUGGAUAACCUACCUAUAAGACUGGGAUAACUUCGGGAAACCGGAGCUAAUGCCGGAUAACAUAUUGAACCGCAUGGUUCAAUAGUGAAAGGCGGCUUUGCUGUCACUUAUAGAUGGAUCCGCGCCGUAUUAGCUAGUUGGUAAGGUAACGGCUUACCAAGGCAACGAUACGUAGCCGACCUGAGAGGGUGAUCGGCCACACUGGAACUGAGACACGGUCCAGACUCCUACGGGAGGCAGCAGUAGGGAAUCUUCCGCAAUGGGCGAAAGCCUGACGGAGCAACGCCGCGUGAGUGAUGAAGGUCUUCGGAUCGUAAAACUCUGUUAUCAGGGAAGAACAAAUGUGUAAGUAACUGUGCACAUCUUGACGGUACCUGAUCAGAAAGCCACGGCUAACUACGUG
This 497-nucleotide ribosomal RNA is filed under the name uncultured bacterium. RNAcentral's name for it is "partial 16S ribosomal RNA". It matches the Rfam family "Bacterial small subunit ribosomal RNA", at positions 28 to 507 of the family's 1533-position model. The record is from RNAcentral.